Molecule: ribosomal RNA, 271 nt
Filed under: Bacillus sp. CM3.2
Lineage: Bacteria; Bacillati; Bacillota; Bacilli; Caryophanales; Bacillaceae
Description: partial 16S ribosomal RNA
Rfam family: Bacterial small subunit ribosomal RNA
Source: RNAcentral
GAUGUUAGCGGCGGACGGGUGAGUAACACGUGGGUAACCUGCCUGUAAGACUGGGAUAACUCCGGGAAACCGGGGCUAAUACCGGAUGCUUGUUUGAACCGCAUGGUUCAAACAUAAAAGGUGGCUUCGGCUACCACUUACAGAUGGACCCGCGGCGCAUUAGCUAGUUGGUGAGGUAAUGGCUCACCAAGGCAACGAUGCGUAGCCGACCUGAGAGGGUGAUCGGCCACACUGGGACUGAGACACGGCCCAGACUCCUACGGGAGGCAGC